AGUGAACGCUGGCGGUAGGCCUAACACAUGCAAGUCGAACGGCAGCACAGUAAGAGCUUGCUCUUACGGGUGGCGAGUGGCGGACGGGUGAGGAAUACAUCGGAAUCUACUUUUUCGUGGGGGAUAACGUAGGGAAACUUACGCUAAUACCGCAUACGACCUACGGGUGAAAGCAGGGGAUCUUCGGACCUUGCGCGAUUGAAUGAGCCGAUGUCGGAUUAGCUAGUUGGCGGGGUAAGGGCCCACCAAGGCGACGAUCCGUAGCUGGUCUGAGAGGAUGAUCAGCCACACUGGAACUGAGACACGGUCCAGACUCCUACGGGAGGCAGCAGUGGGGAAUAUUGGACAAUGGGCGCAAGCCUGAUCCAGCCAUACCGCGUGGGUGAAGAAGGCCUGCGGGUUGUAAAGCCCUUUUGUUGGGAAAGAAAAGCAGCAGGUUAAUACCCCGCUGUUCUGACGGUACCCAAAGAAUAAGCACCGGCUAACUUCGU
RNAcentral lists this ribosomal RNA (491 nucleotides) under uncultured bacterium. RNAcentral describes it as "partial 16S ribosomal RNA". It matches the Rfam family "Bacterial small subunit ribosomal RNA", at positions 29 to 506 of the family's 1533-position model. The record is from RNAcentral.